This 361-nucleotide long non-coding RNA is filed under the name Erythranthe guttata (spotted monkey flower). RNAcentral describes it as "long non-coding RNA (EGUT_LNC001958)". Lineage: Eukaryota; Viridiplantae; Streptophyta; Magnoliopsida; Lamiales; Phrymaceae. The record is from RNAcentral.
CGGAUGUUGAGCUCGAUAUCAUUUGGUAAUUUGGGGACCUUCUUUCUUUUGCACAAUCUCGUGACGAGGCUAGGGAAGAAGAUGCCCUUUGUAUUGUCGCGCAUGGAAAGCCAAAUUUGAUCGGACAUAAUUGACCCGAUGUCGACCGGCUUCCCCGUGAUAAUGUAAUAAGCGAGCGCACACCGUUCGUGGUUGAUCCGACUAAACGAUGUAGUCGGGAUUAUGUUGGCGCAAAUAAACGUCAACCACGCCUUGCCUUCAUAAUUGAUGCUUUUCCAACUGAGCUCAUACGUCCCUUUGUCCGGGUAUUCGAUCCAUCGUGGAUGUCCAUCACUCAACACUUCACCAAUUUGCUCUUUGG